CUCUCCAGCAGGCACAUGAAGCCCGCUGAUUAACUGCUUUCCGUCCCUGCUUCUAACCGGAAGGAUAAAACGAAGUGAAAGACAAAAUGGCUCCAACGGCUACUAUCGAAACAAUCGCUAUCGUCCGUCCACUUAAGUGCGAGCUUUUGGCAUCGGCGCCGGACAAGGUAGGAGGAGGGCCAGUGCCACCCAGGGCCACCCAGGGCCACCCAGGGCCACGUCUUGUAAG
Penaeus indicus is the source of this 229-nucleotide long non-coding RNA. RefSeq lists it as uncharacterized. Lineage: Eukaryota; Metazoa; Arthropoda; Malacostraca; Decapoda; Penaeidae. The transcript is spliced from 3 exons. The record is from RefSeq and is a predicted model, not a curated record.